Molecule: unclassified non-coding RNA, 322 nt
Filed under: soil metagenome
Description: partial contains 5.8S ribosomal RNA, internal transcribed spacer 2, and large subunit ribosomal RNA
Rfam family: 5.8S ribosomal RNA (bases 1-120)
Source: RNAcentral
GAUGAAGAACGUAGCGAAAUGCGAUAAGUAAUGCGAAUUGCAGAAUUCAGUGAGUCAUCGAAUCUUUGAACGCACAUUGCGCCCUGUGGUAUUCCGCAGGGCAUGCCUGUUCGAGCGUCAUUUCAACCCUCAAGCUCUGCUUGGUGUUGGGCCCUGCCCGCUGCGGCCGGCCCUAAAGACAGUGGCGGUGCCGCCUGGCCCUGAGCGUAGUACAUCUCUCGCUCCAGUGCCCGGUGGUAGCCUGCCAGAACCCCAACUCUCGUGGUUGACCUCGGAUCAGGUAGGGAUACCCGCUGAACUUAAGCAUAUCAAUAAGCGGAGA